UUCUCAAUAGCUUAACGGUAAA
This 22-nucleotide transfer RNA is filed under the name Emiliania huxleyi. Its description in RNAcentral is "partial tRNA-Asn". Lineage: Eukaryota; Haptophyta; Isochrysidales; Noelaerhabdaceae. The record is from RNAcentral.